This 378-nucleotide ribosomal RNA is filed under the name uncultured bacterium. Its description in RNAcentral is "bacterial SSU rRNA". It matches the Rfam family "Bacterial small subunit ribosomal RNA", at positions 28 to 407 of the family's 1533-position model. The record is from RNAcentral.
GACGAACGCUGGCGGCGUGCUUAACACAUGCAAGUCGAGCGGUAAGGCCCUUUCGGGGGUACACGAGCGGCGAACGGGUGAGUAACACGUGGGUGACCUGCCCUUAGCUCUGGGAUAAGCCUGGGAAACUGGGUCUAAUACCGGAUAUGACUCCAUAACGCAUGUUGUGGGGUGGAAAGCCUUGUGCGGCUAGGGAUGGGCCCGCGGCCUAUCAGCUUGUUGGUGGGGUGAUGGCCUACCAAGGCGACGACGGGUAGCCGGCCUGAGAGGGCGACCGGCCACACUGGGACUGAGACACGGCCCAGACUCCUACGGGAGGCAGCAGUGGGGAAUCUUGCGCAAUGGGCGAAAGCCUGACGCGGCGACGCCGCGUGGGGA